CAGUCGCCGCGGUAACACGGAGGAUCCAAGCGUUAUCCGGAUUUAUUGGGUUUAAAGGGUGCGUAGGCGGCUUGUUAAGUCAGGGGUGAAAGGCGGUAGCUUAACUAUCGGAGUGCCCUUGAUACUGACGAGCUUGAAUGCAGCUGAGGUAGGCGGAAUGUGACAAGUAGCGGUGAAAUGCAUAGAUAUGUCACAGAACACCGAUUGCGAAGGCAGCUUACUAAAGUGCGAUUGACGCUGAGGCACGAAAGCGUGGGGAUCAAACAGGAUUAGAUACCCCAGUAGUCCCUGUCUCUUAUAA
RNAcentral lists this ribosomal RNA (301 nucleotides) under uncultured bacterium. RNAcentral describes it as "partial 16S ribosomal RNA". It matches the Rfam family "Bacterial small subunit ribosomal RNA", at positions 509 to 809 of the family's 1533-position model. The record is from RNAcentral.